UACGUAGGGUGCGAGCGUUAAUCGGAAUUACUGGGCGUAAAGCGUGCGCAGGCGGUGAUGUAAGACAGGUGUGAAAUCCCCGGGCUUAACCUGGGAACUGCAUUUGUGACUGCAUCGCUGGAGUGCGGCAGAGGGGGAUGGAAUUCCGCGUGUAGCAGUGAAAUGCGUAGAUAUGCGGAGGAACCCCGAUGGCGAAGGCAAUCCCCUGGGCCUGCACUGACGCUCAUGCACGAAAGCGUGGGGAGCAAACAGG
Molecule: ribosomal RNA, 253 nt
Filed under: uncultured bacterium
Lineage: Bacteria
Description: partial 16S ribosomal RNA
Rfam family: Bacterial small subunit ribosomal RNA
Source: RNAcentral